GGAUAAAGAAAGUACUUUUAUAUCUUUCAGUGCUUCAGUGUUGUCAUUAUGAGAAACUGUCAUUUUUGUAUAUAAUCCUUUAGACAUACUAGGGCUGUCAGGGGCAUUCUCUAGAUAUUGCUUUUCUACAAAACAAAUUCCCUAUGUCAGCUUGAAAAAA
This is a non-coding RNA of Ceratotherium simum simum (southern white rhinoceros), 160 nucleotides long. Lineage: Eukaryota; Metazoa; Chordata; Mammalia; Perissodactyla; Rhinocerotidae. The record is from RefSeq and is a predicted model, not a curated record.